Molecule: ribosomal RNA, 514 nt
Filed under: uncultured Planctomycetota bacterium
Lineage: Bacteria; Pseudomonadati; Planctomycetota
Description: bacterial SSU rRNA
Rfam family: Bacterial small subunit ribosomal RNA
Source: RNAcentral
AGAGUUUGAUCAUGGCUCAGAAUGAACGUUGGCGGCGUGGAUUAGGCAUGCAAGUCGAGCGAGAACCCGCAAGGGGGACAGCGGCAAACGGGGUAGUAACGGGUAGGUGACGUACCCUCGGGUCGGGGAUAGCCACGGGAAACUGUGGGUAAUACCCGAUAAUCUCUGGAGGCGUGAUAGCUUUUAGAGCAAAGGUGUGAUUCCACCGGAGGAGCGGCCUGCUUCGUAUUAGCUUGUUGGUGAGGUAACGGCUCACCAAGGCGACGAUGCGUAGGGGGUGUGAGAGCAUGACCCCCACCACUGGGACUGAGAUACUGCCCAGACACCUACGGGUGGCUGCAGUCGAGAAUCUUCGGCAAUGGGCGCAAGCCUGACCGAGCGACGCCGCGUGUGGGAUGAAGGCCCUUGGGUUGUAAACCACUGUCAGAGGGGAUGAAGUGCAUGAGGGCAAUCUCUCAUGUUUGACAUAGCCUCAGAGGAAGCACGGGCUAAGUUCGUGCCAGCAGCCGCGGUA